GUCAGUAAAACAAGAAUUGAGAUCAAGAUAGCGCAAGCUUGUAAGGUUUCCCAAAAAUGAAGGAAGAGAUCCACCAAAGGAUGCACCCGAGAGAUUGAGGUAUCUCAAAGUCUUGAGUGAUCCAAAAAAGUUUGGAAUUGAGACUCCUCCAAAGUAGUUCAUACUAAGGUCUAAGUACUUCAAGUAUUUCAAAUCAAUCAAAGAAGGAUGUAUCUCACCGCCUAACGCAUAAGCUGUUGCAUCUGAUACAUCAGGAUUACUGGAAUACAGGUUGGGAAGUUUGAGCUUGGUGACAUGUCCAAGCUUGUCACUGCACCGUACACCAGCCCAGCUACAGCAAUCUUCACCUUUCCAAGAAGAGAGCCGCCCUGAGGGAUCGGUGAGACCUUCUUUGAAGUUGAGAAGAGCUUUUCUUUCCAUUGGAAUGCAGCUAACAUUUUGACUCACACAUGAACCAAUUUAACAGUUUCGAGGUAAAGGAACUCAGAAGAGAGGAUCAAAAUAAGAGAAAAACACCAGAUAGAAGAUCUGGUAUUCGCCAUGUCUUUUGCAGGUAAAGAAAAUGAAUAGAUGCGCUGUUGAGCUCAUGCUGUUUAUAUAGGGGAAAAAAUAAACGAAUAUUUGAGUUGGCUCAAGUCAAUGUCUUUGUGCUGAACCAUUUGAGAAGCCCAUAGCUUUCUCAGUCCAGCUGUCUCAUACAAGUAGGUAAGAUUUGUUCUGUCCAAUCAUUCUUAACGUAACAGGAACUUCCAUUUAUUCUCUUUCCUUUUUAGGGCAAAUAACCAUAUAAAAUAUUGUCAAACUUUCCAUCCCACUUGUUCUUUUCUUUUUUGCUUUUUGGGUGUUUUGCCUUCUAAGUCUGGAAAGAAAUCCAACUUGUUUUCAAACCAGAGAAAAUGAAUAUUGCAGUCCAGUCAAAUUUGACGGCAGUGGGUUCAAUGCUGAAGUCGCCAUUACUGAAGCCGAAUGAAGGCUUCCUUUAAUUUUAUAUUACAUGCGUAUCUCAACCAAAGAUUUAAAUAGAGGUUGAAUAGUGGUAUAACGGUCAUUAUUUCACAAUUAUGUUAUUAUUUAUCACUGUUAUUAAAAGAAAAAGAAAAAAAUUUAAAUAUCAUUUAUAGCAAGCAAAUCACGAUUGCAAAUUGUGGCAUACCGUUUAAUAGCGAUAAUAGCUGCUAUUAUUUGCUACUUAUUUUUCAUUCAAAAAUUUAAAAAAUAUAUUUUAUUUGACUCUAAUUAAAAAUUUAAAAUAAAAAAGCAAGAAAAAUGAUAAACAUCAAUUUACAAAUUCAAGAAAAAUUUUUUUUAUAAAACUUAGACUUUCAAAAAUAUCAAUUCUCUCAAAUUCAACUUCAAUUAAGAUUAAGCAUAUACAAUUUAAGGUAAGCAAUUAAUUCGACACUCAAAUUAUUUUUUUUUUAAUUUUAAAAUUUAUCGUAAUUUUAUGUGUUUGGGAUUGGAUUGAGAGCAAGAGUUGUUGAAACUUAAAAUAAAAAACAAGAGAUGAGAGCAAGAUUUGAGGUUAAAGAAGACAAGCAGAUAGCAUACACCAAAAAAAAAAAAAAGAGCUGAGAGAUAGGGAUGAGGAUAAAGGUUUAGAGAAAAAUUUAUUGAAUGUAAGAUGAGGGGAUGAGAAGUUAUGGGAUCUGUAUAAUUUAGUCAAGAGAUAAAGGAAAUAGACUUUAGGCUAUUGUUGUUGAGGAUUAACCUCAACAUGAAGGCUAACAAGUUUGAUUACUGUAGACCCAUAAAAAGCAAUUCUUUUUUUUCAUAAAUAGCAAUGUUCUUGUUUAAUUUAUGGAUAUUUAAUCACUUAUUAGUUAAUUUAUGUAUAAUAUAAUUCAGUAAUAAUUUGAUGAGUACGAUAAUUAAAUAAUUAAAUAUAUUAUUCGUUAUGAUUAUUUAUUUUUCACAUAUUUAUUUAUCUUUUGUUAUUUACUAAUUAUCGUAUGAGUAAUAUUUUAAACAUGAAUAUUUUAUUAUAAAUAAUUUUUUAAAAUAAAUAAAACAUAUGAUAUGAUAUAAAUUAUUUUAAAAAUCAUAAAUUAAGAGUUUUUAUGAUUAAUAAUUAAAAUUAUUAAUAAUUUAAAAAAAUUUACAAUCGUAAUCGCUGUAAUGAUCAUGAAAACUUUUAUUAUAUUCGUAACUAUGAUAAAUAUGAUGCAAUAAAAAAUAUGACUGCUAUCGCAAUUUAAAUAUAUGAUCUCAUCUUGUUCAUCGUCCUUCCACAGGAAACAGAACCUGUGGACCUGUGGUUUCCAAAAUUUCCUAUGGAAAAGUUUCCAACUUCCAUCUUCCAAGUAAGGAAAGUGUGAAUUCUUGGCAUUUAGGGUGGGGGGAACAGGGUUGUACCCUUCAGUAUUUAAUUUCUUGCAAAUCCAACAAAGGCAGCUGAUUGAAAGGCUGAAAUCGACACUCACCCCAACACCAGUUGUUCCAAUAAGAUUGAUCGUCUUUCUUAAACUUUCUUAAAUACUACAUUACUAGAAAUACAAAGAUGAUCAAACAAAUUCAUUUCUGUAAGAAAUUUGUAGACUAUUAAUACAAAGUUAAUACCCCAAAAUAGUAAUAUUUAACCUGUUCCUGUUUUUGGAAAUUAAUUAACCCAUUUAUAAUUUUUUUAUUUUUUUAUUACAACUAGAUUCAACUUGAAACUUUCAAUUUUGAAACUAAUUUUAUUAUUAUUGCACUAACUGUUCAUUGAUAAUUCAUUUGUAAAUUUAAUAAAAGGUAAUUUAAUUAUUAAUUUAAAGAUAUAAUUAAUAGACAAUGCCUUUUUUAAUUUUAAUUACUAGAAAAUAAAUAAAGCAUAUAAACUAUACAAAGCUUCCCUUGAAAAAAAUUAUUAAAAAAUAAUUAAAAAUAUCUUAAGUGUUACACAUUUCUAAGCAGGGAUGGAUCUAGGAUUUCUAAUAAGUGGGGGCAACUAUUUUAACUUAAUUUUUUAAAAUUUUUAUUGAAAAACAUAUUAAUAUGAAGAAUUCCUAACAAAUUAACAUGUAUAACAAUUUUUUCUAUAAAACACAAUUUUGUAUGUCAUAAAUAUAAUAUUUGCAUAACUAAGAUUAACUGUUAUUGACGAAUAUAGCUUAAACAUUAUAAUAUUAUAAUAAAUCAUUUUUUGACGUAUGCAUGUGUAGACACAUACAUAUAUAAAUAUGUAUAUAUAUUUUAUUAAUACAAUUUUACUUAAACAAUUUUUAAAUAUAAAUAUAAUAUGUGAAAAAAAUAAAUAUCAAUAUUUUCAAUUUUAUCAUCUAUUUUCAUUUCUUACACAUUAUAAUUUGAAGAAUAACAAAUGUUUAUUUUCUUAUAUACAAUGAAAACAAUAUUUUUUUACGUUCAAUGGAAAACAAAAAUGAAGAUAUAAAUCCAUGUUAGUUAAAAAUUAUUUUUUAAUUUUUAUUCUUAUUAAUUCACUCUGAAUGAAUUUUAAAAGUUAUUUAUUUAUUCUUCUUCAAAAUUAAUGUACAUAUAUGUUAUAAUGAAAUUGUUUAUCACUCAAAAUAUAAAUAUUCAAUUACUAGAUAAACAAUAAAAAAAUUUUUACUUGAUCCUCAAUUUAAUGAGGGUAAAUAUGAUAAAAAAAAUUUUGAUAGGGCAAAACUUAAAAUUUCUAAACUUUAUGAGACUUUUCUAUGACAAAUUCAAAGAACUUUAGUGUGUCAGUGGGGCGGCUGCCCCGACAACCCCAUGUGUAAUCCGGUCCUUUUGCUAAGUCAAGUCUAGGUUUUGUUUCAAAAAGUCAAAAACAUUUUAAAAAAAUUAUAAAACUAUUUCUAAAAUUAUUUCAAUCAUUCAAACAAGAAAUGCUGUCUGCCAAAAACAAAAAAACAAAACCUUGGGCUCAUAGGGGGGUUUGAGCUUCAUAUUCUAAGGCUUGAUUGGGCCCAAGAGAAAAAGGACAGUUGGGCUAUGAACCCGGUUCUAGGAUGGAUAGCCCGACCCGGUGAAACCAUUGAGAUAUUUGUCGGUGCAGGGUAAAUGACGUGGUGUUCUCCAUUCUUGCCAAGGACCACCGGAAAAGAUCUCAACACCGGCCACGGCGGACAGCACAGAUGUCACCGUACACCCUCCCAAAUCCCCACCUUAUCCAAUCAUCACCUGCCGCGUGUCCCCCGCACAGUUCCUACCGCCCCUUCUCCUUCUCACUCCAUCCUCCCUCCAACAACGACCGCUGCCGCCCUCCAUGUGCUAACUUGCGCCUUACAGUGCCCUCACUUCCUAUCAUACGCAUCCUUGUGACACCCCCAAUCUAUUAUGAUAUAUAAAAGUUCUCACUUCCUAAAAAUCUACUAUGAUAUUUAUUCAUAUUUAUUCAUUAUAUUUAUUUUUAUUCAUAUUUAUUUUCUAUAUUAAUUAUAUUUAUUUUAUCUUUAAAUUGAUAUAAAUUGAUUUGCUUUUAUAAAAAUUUUAAAAUAUUUCAAUGCAUUAAUUAUAUUUAUUUUCUUUUUAAUUUUCAAUAAACCCACUUUUUAUUUCCAAAUAAAAUAUCUUAAAUUAUAAAUUAAAACUAAAUCAAUAAUACAUUAUAAUUAAAGAAUUUAUUAAUGAUUCAAAAAAUAAUAAAUAUUAUAAUUAUGGUUAUUAAAUUUUUUUAAUGAUUCAAAAAAUUUUUAUUGAAAUUUAAUCAAAAUUAUAAAAAAUUUAAUAAUCACUAUAAUAAUGGUUAAUAGUUGAUUUCUUAAUAAAUUAUUUAAUAUAUUCAUAUUUGAUUAAAUAUGAUAUCCAACUAAAUAAUGUAUGUUAUUCAUAUAUAAAUAUAUAUAAAUUAUAUAAUAAUUUUAUAUAUUUAUAUAAGAUUAAUGAUUCAUUAUAAUGUUGGAUUUUAUGCAUACGGGUUGUAAUCAAUAAGCAAUGCAUCCCAUUUCAUACAAAUAUAUAAAAAUAAAAAAAUUUUGUAAAAAAAAUAAAAAAUUCAAUGUGGAUAAUCUAUUUUUUUUUUACAUAUAAAUUGUUUUGAACAAUUUUUACAUAUUCUGCAUUUAAUUAUUUUGAUUUGACUUCAUAUAUAUAUUUUAUUAAUUUAAAAGAUAUUUAUUUGGCUAAAUUAGGUUAUUUAUUUUCUCAUAAAUAUCCAAUGUUUUUGCCUUUUAUAAAUGUAUUAUAAUUAAAUUAUUUUAUAUUAUUUUCAACCAAAUUCAAUUCUUAAUUUUAAAUAUCAAACGUGUAUACUAUCAAUAAGAAAUAUGUUUUGAAAGCAUUUACUUUUUAAUAACCAUGAUUUUAAUAUUUAAUUAAAAAUAAUUUAUAUAUUUAUUAACCUAAAUUAAUAUAUAAGCCAUAUAAUGCUAAAAAUUCAAACCUAAAAUAAAAUCAAAUUAGUUUGAAACAUAUUUUCAUAUUUCUUUCUAUAUAAGUAUUAAUUACAAUUGAUAUAAUUUAUUAUUUUACAAAAAUUUUUCAAAAUAUUAAGUGCAGACUUUUCAAAGUAAAAAGAUAUAUUACAUAAAUAAUUAAUAUUCUAUUAUAAUUUUUUUUUCAUAAAUUACUCUUAAUUUAUAAAAAUCUCUCAAAUUCUUAUUAUAAAUAGAGAAGCCUAUAUCUAAGAGUAUUAGGAGGUUACUCAAUUUAUUAAUUUUUAGUAAAUAACAUAUGGUUUCAAUCCCACAAAAAAACGCAAAUUCAAUUUAAAUUACUUUGAACUUUCGAGAAUACAAUGUAAGAAUGGACACCACUUAACCAAAGGUUUGUUGUUGUUAUUAUGAGUAAGUGGUAUAAAAUUCAAAGAUUUGGAAUCAAUCAGUAUUUAAUUUUGUAUAAAUAUCACUAUUAGAUGAGAUAUAAUACAAAUAAUUUUUUUAUAUUACAUAGGGAUAUGUUGAUUUACAAUAAUUUUAUUUUUUAUUAUUUUACAUUGCAAAUUUUUAUUUUUAUAUAAAAUUUAUUGAUUUAUUUUAUUUUGUAUAAAUAUCACUAUUAGAUGAGAUAUAAUAUAAAUAAUUUUUUCAUAUUACAUAGGUAGAUAUUGAUUUACAAUAUUUUUAUUUUUUAUUAUUUUACAUUGAAAUUUUUUAUUUUUUUAUAAUAUAUAUAUGUAUGUAUGUAUGUAUGUAUGUAUGUAUGUAUGUAUGAAUAUAUCGCACGGAUUUCGUUUACAUUAAAGUAUCUUGCAACUUAGCCUGACUGCCUGUGUUUCCCUCUACUUCAUUGGUCUUCUUAGGCGAGCUAAGUUUAACAAGACAAACACCAUUAGCCUUUCUUUCAUAUCAUCAAGGAACUCGAAGUAGACACGCCUCCAAGAUUUCUUCACCAUUAAAGGGAAGCACACUCCCCAAAAUCCCACAACAAAUCCUGGUCCCAUGCUGAUAUAGAACCACAUCAUUUCGUGGUCAUCUCCGUUUUCAUUGUCCUUGUUCCUAACAUCAGGAGAAGUUGAUGAUUCAUCGUCACCAUCGCACCUGGUUGGUAGUGGUGGCCCACAAAGUCCACUGUUACCUUCAUAAAUGGAUGGAUCGUUGAGGGUUUGGAACUGGUUGGCUGACGGAAUUUUACUAGACAGGUUGUUGUACGAAAGGUUCAAGUGAUUUAAGGAAGUUAGGGAGACCAUGCUUGGUGGGAUCAUGCCAGAAAACUGAUUUCUUGAGAGGUCGAGAGUCUCAAGCCAUUUCAAGCGACCAAUUCCUGAUGGUAUCUUUCCUGUCAAAUGGUUCAUUGACAAGUUCAAGGUGCCCAAUCUUGAAAGAUUUGUCAGCUCUUCAUGGAAAUCUCCAGAUAAAUUAUUGCUUGAAAGGUCUAUGCUGUUCACAAGAAACAGACAGGUCUCAUAAAAAAGAUCUCUUCCCUUUGCCACAAUCCAUAAUCGCUCCUCAUAUCUCGUAUCAUUAAUAAUGCUGGAAAAUCCACUCAUAUUGCCAAUACAGCGAGGAAUCGAUCCUGACAAAUUGUUGUCUCCCAAGUUCAGUAUAUGGAGAAGGGAAAGAUUGCAUAGCUGUAUUGGAAUAUCCCCAGUGAACAGGUUUGAUCGUAAAUUUAGAAUCCGCAAAGAUGGCAUAGUUUCUCCGAUCCAUGUUGGAAUCUCUCCAGAAAGCCUGUUGUUUCCAAGAUCAAGAUUUUCCAUGACUGUGCAAUUCCGCAGGGUAGGUGAGAGUUCCCCAGAAAGAUUGUUUGUGCUCAGCCUCAAGUAUCUGAGUUCAGUCAAAGAACCCAAAGAAGGAGGUAUAUUCCCAGAUAAACUAUUGUUGGACAUAUCAAUAAGAUACAAGGCUGUUAUGUUAUUCCAGAUAUCCGGAAUUUUUCCAGUCAACUGAUUGUCUGAGAUAAGAAAAGUCAGCAGAAAAUUCAGGUUUCCAAUGGAUGAGGGAAUAGAACCAUUGAAGGAGUUGGAAGAGAGAUCAACAUCAGCCAACAUGGGCAUUCUUUCACCAAAAUCAUGAGGAAUUGGCCCAGAAAACAUAUUAUUGUCAAGAUGUAAUGAACUCAAAUUCGAUGAUAAAACUAGAAGAGGGCCAAUGAAGUUAUUAUGGUUCAAAAAAACAAAACCUUGAGGCCUAAACUUUAUGGAGCUUGGCACUCUACCAGUUAACUGAUUGUAACUAAAGUCCAGCACGUCCAAAACCAAAUCUAGCUUCCAAAACCACUCCGGGAUGCUGCCUGAGAUCCCAGCUUUCAACAGACCUACAUACUCCAGCUCGUUUUGAUUUCUUAGCCACGCAGGAAAUUCAGGGCCUACAAGGCAUGCUUUGAGGUUUAUAUAUCUUAAUUUGAAAGGAGGAACCCAAUUGGAAGACGCAUUGAACAUCAAGGUGAUGUUCCAAGAAUUUUGAACAAUUGAUAGCUCCUUUAGGCUUGUGAGAUUAGAAAAGUGAGCUUCUGUCAAAACACCCUCCCAUUGAUUGUCUUUGAUAUCUAAUGAGACUAAUGAUGAGAGUUGUCCUAUGGUUGUUGGGAUUGUUCCUUUCAUUCCAUUGUCGGAGAGAUCGAAAAACUCUAGUGAAGACAAAUUCCCUAUGGAUUCUGGAAUGGAACCGACAAAGUAGUUGUGCACGAGAAGAAGAUUUUUUAAGUUCCUCAAGUGUCCCAAAGAAUCAGGAAGAAAGCCACCAAGUUCAUUGUAAUCCAACUGCAAUGACUCUAAGCUACAAUUGUUGCAUUGAGACAAGCCACUGGUAAAUUCUCCAAUAUCACCACCAAUCUUAUUGAAUGAGAGAUCAAGCACUUGCAAAUUGCAGAGGUUUCCCAAAUUUCUUCUUGACAACCUGCCUUCCAUAAAUGAAUUUUCAGACAAGUCAAGGUUUUGAAGAAAGUUCAUUCCAGCAAAUCCAUCAGGAAUUUCGCCUUUGAGAUUGUUAGAGUUGAGAUCAAGAUACUGAAGACCACUUAUGUUAAAAAGCCAAGUAGGUAUUGAGGAGUUGAAACCAUUGUUUGAGAGAUCAAGCACGGAAAGGGAUGAAAGGUUAACGAGGGGAAGUGAGAGAGGAAGAAUGGAAAGUCCACAAACUGGUAAGUGCAGCUCUUCUAAUGAAGGAAGCAUGUUGACAGCUUCAAGCCAGUAUGUGCUGGUCAUGCUAAGAUCAACACUUCCCAAAUUUAGGUGUUUCAAAGUAGAAAGGGUUGUUAACCAAUGCAAAUCAUUCUUGUUUGAGUCAGUAAAACAAGAAUUGAGAUCAAGAUAGCGCAGGCUUGUAAGGUUUCCCAAAAAAGAAGGAAGAGAUCCACCGAAGGAUGCACCCGAGAGAUUGAGGUAUCUCAAAGUCUUGAGUGAUCCAAAGAAGUUUGGAAUUGAGACUCCUCCAAAGUUGUUCAUACUAAGGUCUAAGUACCUCAAGUAUUUCAAAUCAAUCAAAGAAGGAUGUAUCUCACCGCCUAACGCAUAAGCUGUUGCAUCUGAUACAU
Molecule: long non-coding RNA, 8835 nt
Filed under: Durio zibethinus
Lineage: Eukaryota; Viridiplantae; Streptophyta; Magnoliopsida; Malvales; Malvaceae
Description: long non-coding RNA (DZIB_LNC002275)
Source: RNAcentral